UAGGACUUUACCGUCAUAAACCAUCGUGAACCUUACUUCAACGUUGCCUCGGCGGGUGUCGCGGCGGGGGACUACGCGUCCCGCGCCCGGCGCCAAACCCGCCGGCGGCCCGCAACUCUUGCUUCUAGCUGUAUCUCUGAGCACUAUACAUAAAUGAGUCA
RNAcentral lists this unclassified non-coding RNA (161 nucleotides) under uncultured fungus. Its description in RNAcentral is "sequence contains ITS1, 5.8S rRNA gene". Lineage: Eukaryota; Fungi. The record is from RNAcentral.